RNAcentral lists this small RNA (28 nucleotides) under Bombyx mori (domestic silkworm). RNAcentral's name for it is "ovarian small RNA-32652". Lineage: Eukaryota; Metazoa; Arthropoda; Insecta; Lepidoptera; Bombycidae. The record is from RNAcentral.
UGAUCGACAAGAUUUUCUAAAUUUCAGC